GGGAUGUGUGCAGCGGAGUGUAGCAGCGUGGACGGAGUGCGGCAGAGUGCAGCGCAGUGCGGGGAUGAACAGCGGAGAGCAUGAAGACACCAACACGGCUGCUAGAAUCGGAUUUUCACAGAAAUGAGAACAACUUAUUAAAAAGAACAGUGUUAGAGCCAUUUUGCAGGCUUCUGCUGAAGAAAUCCCAUUAUUGAUAAGGAAGCCUUAUGUUUUCUAUGUUUAAGGCAACGUAAUCACCUCAAAUUCCAUCCAUACUGUUGUAAAGAAAUGUGGUGCCUCCCCGGUGGCGCAGCGGUUGAGCACUGGGUUGUGAAGCUGCCCGCAGCCUCUGCAGCACUGGUUCGAUCCCCGAUCCCGGGCUGCUCCCCGGCAACUGGAGGAGGGUCCCACAUGGUGCGCAGACCUCUCCUGUCUCCCGCUGCUCCCCUCAGCAGUGUACUUCAGUCUGCUUGCUCUCUUCCCCACUCUGGCUCUGGUGAAUUCUUUCACCCUCCCGUGCUUCUGACUACCCAG
Long non-coding RNA from Talpa occidentalis (Iberian mole), 516 nucleotides. RefSeq lists it as uncharacterized. The record is from RefSeq and is a predicted model, not a curated record. The transcript is spliced from 4 exons. NCBI's taxonomy places the organism in Eukaryota, Metazoa, Chordata, Mammalia, Eulipotyphla, Talpidae.